AAAAAAAAAAGGACUUCCGUCCGCUCCUCCUCAUCCAUGCCCGCACACCAGUCGUUCCCCACAGCACGGGCGGGCCGCCCAUCCUCCCGCCGCCUCCCGCCGUUCGCCGCUCGCAUCCUCCUCCUCUCGGCUUGGUCUCCCCCAUCCUCCCGUCGUUCGCUAGCCGCCCUCCCGCCAUAUGCCGUUCGCUAGAGAUGCGGGCGGACGGUUGGGCUGGCGAGCGGUGGCAGGUUCGUCGCGCGACAGGUCGCCUGGGAUGCUAGCCGUGGAUGCGGGUCAAGCCGACUCGGGCGGCGGCGCAUCUUCGGGAGAGGAGAGGGGAAAAGAAGGAGAGUCCUGGGGGCGGCUGAGGAGGUGCUCGCCGGCGAGCGGGCUCCGACGGCCGCCUGGCGCGCGGGGUUGGAUGGGGGCGUUUCCCGGCAGUCGCGGCCGUCCUCGCGACACCAACUAGCCGAAAGCAUCGCCGCUCCCCGCCGCCCGCCGACGCGAAUUCGCCUGCCCCUCCUACCCACGCGACAAUGUCGCUCCUCGGCUCCUCCCCGCGCGACACCGCCUUCCCCAAGAGCGCCCACCCCGUCGUCCUCCUACUCCUCAGUGCCUCCUUCUCGCCCGCCCGCAACGCCUUGCCUUGCAGCGUGGCCUGACACACGCACGGCCCACACUGGAGCACGCCGCCCCUCGCUGCCCGGUUUUUCUUCUUUUCCGUCGCACUGUGCGAAAUCUGCCCCAUGCUCGGUCUGGAUCUAAAUAAGCGGUUGAGAGAGAGAGAGAGAGAGAGAGCACAGCGAAGACGCACACACUGUGGAUUGUGGAAGAGGAAGAGGACAUGCUGUUGGAUCCGAGCACCUGUCGGAGGAGCAUAGGCAUAAGGAGGCAUCCAUGAGACAAGUUUUUUUUAAUUCGUAUUUCUAUGUCUGCAUGAUGACAUUAGUUAACUGGUAAUAGUAAGUCACUGCCAUACAUCACUGAUGAAACAGUUGUUUUUUCCCAUUUAGCAAAGAAAUUAUGAUCUGUUCCUCUACCAAUAAUUGUAAAUUAGUCAUGACACCCAAUCUAGCACCUGUCAUGUUGUUUGAUUUGUCUCUCUAUAUAUAUGUUCUCAUGAGUGGUCAUAGUUUUACAUGACGAUUUCCAGAAUAUGAAUACAUUGAAAGUUAAUUUGAUUUUCAUAAAUGUGUCCAAUUUUGGUUGUAUAAAUCAAUUUUUAAUUUGGCAUCCCAUUCCAUGCCAAGAAUCAAAUGACAAGCUGAAUUUGUUCCUAUGUAACGGGGUUCAGUAGCUUCCCUCUCCUGAAUUAUUCUUGUUGUAAUUUCAUGGUUAUGCAAUUAUCAAUCUUCUCUUACUCAUUUCACGUGUCCAUAGUUAGCCAGGCAACUGAAGGUGGGUCAUGUAUUUUAGCACAGGUUCGAUGUGGCGGUUGUUAACUUAUUCCAACUGUGAAAAAUGGUAGUUGUUGCCGGAUGAAUUUCUGGUCUCGCACCUCCUUAUUUCUGGUCUUGCACCAUGGACGGCCUGAACGGCGCUGACGCGUGCUUCUCCGGAGGAGGGCCAUGUGACGGCCAGACCGGCAGACAUAGCCAGGAUAUGUGGUACAAGGGAUUCGAGGCAAAUUGAGGAAGGAGCUGGAGCAGGUGGUGGAUUAAGGAAAGAGCUGGAGCAGAGACGGAUUAGAGCUGCUUAAGAUGGAAGGGAACUUAAGUGCAUGUUUUCGGAUUGUACAUGAACUAAGUUCCUGCUGAAAAAUGGUGACUGCAUUUAGAGCUGGCAUUGGUGCUUGGUCAGACAUGGUGUCUUUGUAACUACACUAAGUUCCCUGGUUCUUGCUUAAAAAUGUUUACAAGAUAACAUUUCUAAACAUGAUCUAGAAGCCCUCAAACCAGAUCAAGCUCGGUACAUUGGAAUAAAAAGAAUGACAAGGCAGUUAGAAGUUCAGAAUUCUAUAUAGGAUAUAUAUACUUGGUUGUACCAUAUUUAGCUGAACUAAAGUAGAUGCUCUAACUGUGUUCACAUGAUUUUGAACAGGCCCAUGGAGAGAAGCCCUAAUGUACACCCAAGGUUCAGGGAGGUGAUCCAGGUUUUCAAGAAGGUUAGAAGGAGGGUGAGUGGAUUAGUCGCCGAUUAGUGCCUUCAUUGUUGUUGAAUAAACUGGCUUCAGCUCUGAUGCAUGUGAACUGUGAGGUGUUUUUGGUAUGGGAAUGAUGAGGUUCUGAUGGUCUAUACCUGAUUGCAAGGUUUGGGUAUGAAUUAAAUUUGCGUCCAAACUUGGCAAUUAUCUUCUAUGAAUUUAGGCAUUGUUCACAUGUCAUUUGAGUCAAACAGAAAUAUGCUUCUGAAAUGCUCCAAUUUGCUGCUUUUCACAUUUAGAGAAGGUUGUUUUAUUUCGUAUUCAUCAGGUUAUGCUAAAGCAGAAGGCAUUGUGCUGACAUUUUUUAAGCCUUACUUGAUUUUGAUAUGUGGUUAGCCGUUUGCCCUUGCACCAAAAACAAACACUAUUCCUAUGUCUUACUUAGAAGCAAAGGUGCAUUAAUUAUUAACUGGUUUGAUAUAUGUUCCAUGGUGGGUGGCAUAGAAAACAAAGCUUCUUUCUAAGACAUGAUGUUCUGUUACUAGCAAAAAAGUGUUAGAAUUUAUAAGUACUUAUUCAAAGAAAAUAAAAACUGACUGGAGAACUGUUUGCUUCUACCAUUCCUUUCAAGUUAAGGCAAAAAUCAUAUUGGCAUGUAGCUUGUGCUCCUGCAGAGUUCUUUUUGUUUUGAUUUUUUGUAAUGUUAAAGGCAUAUCGAAUAAUGAAAUUGCAAUAGUUAUGAUCCCUAGGCCCGACAAAAAACUGACGAGAGUAUUAGGUGGUGGCAGGUAUCAGGCUACAACAGCUGAAUUGCAAGUCUUCUGAUGAGCUUUUGCGGCAAGGAGGAGCAAUCUUACAGUGCAAAGAUGAAGAAGGGGCAAUUCCUCUUCAUGGUGCUUGUGCUUGGGGGUAUGCAUUUUUUAUUUGCAUUGAACUUAUACUUCUUUGCCCCAAGGAGAAGGUUUCAUGCCCCAAGAAGUAGAAUACAUACAGAUAGGCACCCAUCGGGAUCAAGAAACCAAAGUCUGGGCCCUGUUAACUACUCCCUCCGUUCCAAAAUAGAUGACCCAACUUUGUACUAAAGUUAAUACAAAGUUGAGUCGUCUAUUUUGGAAUGGAGGGAGUACAAAGCAAGUCAAUGCCAGCAUACAUAUGAGAAACUGAUGGGCCUGUCAGAGCGAACCCCUGGUUGAAAUUUGUCAAAAGACUGGGCGGUAAACUGAGUGGUAGUCUUAGUAUCUUAAUACACAACUUGCGUACUAUGGGAAUUGUGUUUAUGUUGUUAUGGGAUUAUGGAGUUAUGAUCUAAAAAAAUUAUGGAGUUAUGAUCUAAAAAAGAA
Triticum dicoccoides is the source of this 3405-nucleotide RNA transcript. RefSeq lists it as uncharacterized. The transcript has 6 exons. NCBI's taxonomy places the organism in Eukaryota, Viridiplantae, Streptophyta, Magnoliopsida, Poales, Poaceae. The record is from RefSeq and is a predicted model, not a curated record.